Molecule: unclassified non-coding RNA, 498 nt
Filed under: uncultured Glomus
Lineage: Eukaryota; Fungi; Glomeromycota; Glomeromycetes; Glomerales; Glomeraceae
Description: SSU rRNA
Rfam family: Eukaryotic small subunit ribosomal RNA
Source: RNAcentral
CCAAUAGCGUAUAUUAAAGUUGUUGCAGUUAAAAAGCUCGUAGUUGAAUUUCGGGAUUAGUACGUUGGUCGUGCCUUGGUACGUACUGGUGUAACUGAUUCCUCCCUUCUGACGAACCGUUAUGCCAUUAAUUUGGUGUGGCGGGAAAUCAGGACUGUUACUUUGCAAAAAUUAGAGUGUUUAAAGCAGGCUCGCGCUUGAAUACAUUAGCAUGGAAUAAUGAAAUAGGACGUUAAGCCUAUUUUGUUGGUUUCUAGGAUCGACGUAAUGAUUAAUAGGGAUAGUUGAGGGCAUUAGUAUUCAAUUGUCAGAGGUGAAAUUCUUGGAUUUAUUGAAGACUAACUACUGCGAAAGCAUUUGCCAAGGAUGUUUUCAUUAAUCAAGAACGAAAGUUGGGGGAUCGAAGACGAUCAGAUACCGUCGUAGUCUUAACCAUAAACUAUGCCGACUAGGGAUCGGAUGAUGUUAAUUUUUUAAUGACUCAUUCGGCGCCUUACG